GCCUAAUAAGCUUAGUUGGUAGUGCGUCUGCCUUGUAAGCGCUAGGCCGCGGGUUCGAUUCCCGCCCGGGGCG
RNAcentral lists this transfer RNA (73 nucleotides) under Diaphorina citri (Asian citrus psyllid). It matches the Rfam family "tRNA". Rfam says of the family: Transfer RNA (tRNA) molecules are approximately 80 nucleotides in length. Their secondary structure includes four short double-helical elements and three loops (D, anti-codon, and T loops). Further hydrogen bonds mediate the characteristic L-shaped molecular structure. tRNAs have two regions of fundamental functional importance: the anti-codon, which is responsible for specific mRNA codon recognition, and the 3' end, to which the tRNAs corresponding amino acid is attached (by aminoacyl-tRNA synthetases). tRNAs cope with the degeneracy of the genetic code in two manners: having more than one tRNA (with a specific anti-codon) for a particular amino acid; and 'wobble' base-pairing, i.e. permitting non-standard base-pairing at the 3rd anti-codon position. Lineage: Eukaryota; Metazoa; Arthropoda; Insecta; Hemiptera; Psyllidae. The record is from Rfam by way of RNAcentral.